UGCGUAGGCGGCUAAGUAAGUCAGGAGUGAAAGUUUGCGGCUCAACCGUAAAAUUGCUUUUGAUACUGCUUAGCUGGAAUUAGGAUGAGGUCAGCGGAAUGUGGCAUGUAGCGGUGAAAUGCAUAGAUAUGCCAUAGAACACCAAUUGCGAAGGCAGCUGGCUAGACCUAUAUUGACGCUGAGGCACGAAAGCGUGGGGAGCGAACAGGAUUAGAUACCCUGGUAGUCCACGCCCUAAACGAUGCUCACUCGACGUAUAGCACUCGAUGCUGUGCGUCCAAGGGAAACCGUUAAGUGAGCCACCUGGGGAGUACGACCGCAAGGUUGAA
RNAcentral lists this ribosomal RNA (329 nucleotides) under uncultured Lewinella sp. RNAcentral's name for it is "bacterial SSU rRNA". It matches the Rfam family "Bacterial small subunit ribosomal RNA", at positions 568 to 898 of the family's 1533-position model. Lineage: Bacteria; Pseudomonadati; Bacteroidota; Saprospiria; Saprospirales; Lewinellaceae. The record is from RNAcentral.